GAACAUGAUCAGUCUAAAGCAAGGCAGCCAUGGUAUGUCAGAGAUGCCAACCCCCCCCCCAACUUAUCAGAAUCAUGAUGACCCGAAAAAUGAUGACCCGAUUGCGCCAAAUUCAUUCUGAUUUUUUUCAAAAUAUAACAAAGAUAUAGAUAGCCUUACUUACUGGAGGGCUAGGAUCAUCUUUGACUAUGAAUAAUGAUAAUUAAAUAAAUAUAACACUUUCUCAAAUGGUUUAAAUAGAAAUUAAUCUGGAAGUUGAGUAGGCUGCCUGAUAAAUUCAACACACUGUUUAUUUCAUUCAUUAACAUUCACAAACACUGCUGCCGAGUACUGCAAACCAGUUUCAUUUUUUCUGUUUUAGGCCAGACCAAUUUUAUUUCUUGUUUUACAGAAACUAAAGGCAGGCGGGAAAAACAUUGUAAAUAUUAAAAGUACUUUACUUCUGGCAAUUUAUGCAGUGUAUAUGGGGCAAUAAACAAUCAAAAAACAAAAUCCUGUAAGUUUACAUUUUUGCCCAAUAAAAACAUAAGGAUUUUAUUUUUUGAGCGGAGAAUUUUUUUUCUAAUUAUUAUUCUUGAAAAAAUACGACCAGCGGAUCCGUAAAACAAGAAAUAAAAUUGGUCUGGCCUUAGGGAGCUCAGAUUCCUAAUUCCACCAGUUUGGGGUUGGCAUCUGUGUUAUAUCAUUCAGCUGUAUGCAAUGCUCAGUCUGCAGCAUCGGUCUAGAUGUAUGAAUACAAUGUGUUGUGUCACAACAUCAACAUUUCAUAUAUCCAUGUUAUUUUGGUAAAGAGGUGGUCAGGAAGCUAAGAGGUUGAAGCAUCGUCAGGCCGCAGACCCACAUCUGAUUCCCUGCAUGUGUACAAUAUGUGAAGAGCUACAGUGAUUCUAAUUCUGAUUUCUUUGUUUUGGGUGGGAAGGGAGAACAAUAAUACAUUUCAUUUAUCUUUA
Long non-coding RNA from Haliotis rubra (blacklip abalone), 950 nucleotides. RefSeq lists it as uncharacterized. The transcript has 2 exons. The record is from RefSeq and is a predicted model, not a curated record. NCBI's taxonomy places the organism in Eukaryota, Metazoa, Mollusca, Gastropoda, Lepetellida, Haliotidae.